AAUAUAUUUUAUUUUAGUUUAAAGUUUUAUUAUUAUUUUGUUUUACAUGUAAAUUUUUGUGGGAAUUGAUUAUUAUCUAAAAGAUAAAAUUUAGUUAUUUAUUCGCAGUAAUUAAUUUUAAUUAUAAAAGAAAUUUUGAAUUAGUAAUAAUAUAUAAUAUUGGUAAAAUUUGUGCCAGCUACCGCGGUUAUACAAAUAAUGUAAAUAAAAUUUUUUAGUAUUAGUUAAAUUGAUUAUUUUAAUUUAAAUAUAAAUUUAUUAGGUGAAAUUUUUAAAUUUAUUUAAAAUUAAUUUUAUAAAAAUUUAAGCUAUAAAAUUUUUAUAAUAAACUAGGAUUAGAUACCCUAUUAUUAAAAGUAAAUAAAAAUAUAUUAAAGUAGUAUUAGUUAUAUUCUUAAAAUUUAAAAAAUUUGGCGGUGUUUUAGUCUAUUUAGAGGAACCUGUUCUGUAAUUGAUAAUCCACGUUGGACCUUACUUAAAUUUGUUUUCAAUUUGUAUAUCGUUGUCAUCAGAAUAUAUUAUAAGAUAAAUAAUUUUCUUAAUAUUAUAAUAAAUAAUAUGUCAAAUCAAGGUGCAGUUUAUGUUUAAGUAGAAAUGGGUUACAAUAAAUUUAUUUAAAUGGAUAAUUUGUUUGAAAAAAUAAUUUGAAGGUGGAUUUAAUAGUAAUUUAAAAUAGAUAAUUUAUUUGAUUAUAGCUCUAAAACAUGCACACAUCGCCCGUCGCUCUCAAUUUUAAGAUGAGAUAAGUCGUAACAUAGUAGAUGUACUGGAAAGUGUAUCUAGAUUGA
RNAcentral lists this non-coding RNA (788 nucleotides) under Chagasia sp. SP54_C. The record is from RNAcentral. Lineage: Eukaryota; Metazoa; Arthropoda; Insecta; Diptera; Culicidae.